CUUCUUGGUAUUUCUUGAUGAUGGCCACUGUUGUUAAGGUGAUUGUACUGUGAUCUCUUACUGUAGCCUUGUUGGUAAAACACUGUGAUCUCCUGUAUUGGCCUUUAGUUGGACCGAGAGAACACUAUUUCCUUGGCAUCAGAGGCUCCAUUGGUACUAACUUUGCAUCACUGGUUCAUGAACGACUAGGACAUGAUAGUAGCCCAAUCGCUACCAACAAAACGAAUACUCCCAACCAACACGGCUCUUUUCAACCAAUUAAGUUGUGCUUCUACUCAAGGCAGAUUGAAGAGAUUGCUUGGCUGAAAAAACAGUUUCAGUAGUUUGACAGAGAGACAAGAGCAAGCUAGUACCUGGAGGCCGUUCUCUGGAGAUAUCAGAGAUAUCUUAUCACUGGUGACACUACUCAACAGUCAGAGCACAAGCCGCUGAGUGAGCCGCUGUUCAUGGUACAUCCAACCUCUU
This 465-nucleotide long non-coding RNA is filed under the name Acanthaster planci (crown-of-thorns starfish). RNAcentral describes it as "uncharacterized LOC110990889, transcript variant X2". Lineage: Eukaryota; Metazoa; Echinodermata; Asteroidea; Valvatida; Acanthasteridae. The record is from RNAcentral.